UUUCCGUAGGUGAACCUGCGGAAGGAUCAUUAUUGAAUAUGCUUGAUAGGUUGUAGCUGGCUCUUCGGAGUAUGUGCACGCUUAUCUUGACUUAAUUCAUCCACCUGUGCACCUUUUGUAGUCUUGGGGGUUGAGAUCGGUCGACUAUCGGAUGGCCAAGGUCAUUCCGGAUGUGAGGAAUGCUGAGUGCGAAAGCAUACAGCUCUUCUCAAAUGACUUGUCUUCCUCGAGUACUAUGUAUUCAUAUACCACAUAGUACGUUGUAGAAUGUGAUCAAUGGGUCUAUGUACCUAUAAUAAUUAUACACAACUUUCAGCAACGGAUCUCUUGGCUCUC
RNAcentral lists this unclassified non-coding RNA (336 nucleotides) under plant metagenome. Its description in RNAcentral is "partial contains small subunit ribosomal RNA, internal transcribed spacer 1, and 5.8S ribosomal RNA". The record is from RNAcentral.